CCUACGGGAGGCAGCAGUAGGGAAUAUUGCUCAAUGGGGGACACCCUGAAGCAGCAACGCCGCGUGGAGGAUGAAGGUUUUCGGAUUGUAAACUCCUUUUGUUAGAGAAGAUAAUGACGGUAUCUAACGAAUAAGCACCGGCUAACUCCGUGCCAGCAGCCGCGGUAAUACGGAGGGUGCAAGCGUUACUCGGAAUCACUGGGCGUAAAGAGCGCGUAGGCGGGAGAGCAAGUCAGAUGUGAAAUCCUAUGGCUUAACCAUAGAACUGCAUUUGAAACUGUUAUUCUAGAGUAUGGGAGAGGUAGGUGGAAUUCUUUGUGUAGGGGUAAAAUGCGUAGAGAUCAAGAGGAAUACUCAUUGCGAAGGCGACCUGCUAGAACAUAACUGACGCUGAUGGGCGAAAGCGUGGGGAGCAAACAGGAUUAGAUGCCCGAGUAGUC
Molecule: ribosomal RNA, 440 nt
Filed under: uncultured bacterium
Lineage: Bacteria
Description: partial 16S ribosomal RNA
Rfam family: Bacterial small subunit ribosomal RNA
Source: RNAcentral